AGAGAGAGAGAGAAGGGUAAGGUUCACAGAGAAGAGAGAGGAAAAUAAAUGAGAAAAAGGGUAGCUUUGACAAAUCAGGUUAUGUACUAUCUUAGAACUCAAAACUCAUCAACUCAUGAAAGACACUCGCAUGAAUACUACAUACCAAAUAAACAAUUCAGAAGAAACUCAACCAAAAAAGGAAGAAUCAGAAAAGUUUUUCCAAACCUAUUAAAUGUCUCAUCAAAACAACAAUUUUAGUACUCCAAGCGAUCUUCCGAAACUACUUCUCAAAGUAUGUACAUUUUGAUCUAAUCAACGACAACAACAAGGACCUAGAACCUCCGAGUCAACUAUCCAUUACCAAACUCUUAUGCAAUUAACUUGAUCAUAAUCCUAAGUUGCACAUCAAUCACUUCAUCACAACAAUUGCUAAUUUUACUGAAACUAGCGUAAGAAACAAAGCCUAGGAAACCCAAAAUCAGGUAAACAAUAGUAUGCAAUUUAUGCAUUAUAUAAAGAAAACAUAGCAAAUCAAUCGAAUUAACAUAUUGUGUACACACAAAUAAAUCCAUGUAAUUAUUAUGCAUUUCAAAUAAACACACGUAUUGACAGAAAGGAAAUCAUAAGAGUCAUAACGAUCAAUAGUUCAAUCCACAUAGAACAUAAGACUUAAACUCCGGAAAUUUUUAUCUAUCCAAAUAUAGACAUUCUUCCUUCCACAAUUCCCUCAUAUUAAUCACAUGCGCAAAAUAAUCUCCAUCCUCGAAAAUAUCUCAAAAACUUAUGUACGUAUAGCUAUAUAUUAACUACCAAAGUAAACUUGACAAUUGUAAAUCUCUCAACUCAGCCAAAUGAGUAAAGUCGAACGUAUCGCACGAAAAUGCAUUUCAUCUUCUCAUACCGCACCAGAUUCUAGAACCUCAAACUAUCCUCAAUACACACAAGCCUACUCCUCAAACUUCCUACUAAUGACCAAAAAUAAAGCAUGCUUACCAAAAAAAUCAGGUAACAUGUUCAUAGGAGAACCGAAUUUAACUCCAAAUAACCUUGCACCAAGCCUGCUAUAAAAGUUUUUCCAAACCUAUUAAAUGUCUCUUCAAAACAACAAUUCUCCAUACCUAGAUUAGUACGCCAAGCGAUCUGCCGAUACUACUUCUCAAAGUAUGUGCAUUUUAAUGAUAAUCUUCCAUAAACCAUCUUAAGAAACAAAGCCUAAUAAAGCCUAACUCAUGUAAACAAUAGUAUGUAAUUUAUGCUUUUUAUAAAGAACACAGCAAAUCAAUCGAAGUAAUAUAUUGUAUACACACAAAUAAAUCCAUCUAAUUAAAAUGCUUUAUAAAUAAACACAUGUAUUGAAAUAAAGGAAAUCAUAAGAUUCAUAACGAUCAAUAGUUCAAUCGACAUAGAAAAUAAGCCUUGAGCUCCGGAUAUUUUUAUCUACCCAAGUACAGACUUUCUUCCUUCCACAAUUCCCUCAGAUGAAUCACAUGCUCAGAAUAAUCUCCAUCCUCGAAAAUAUCUCAAAAACUUCUGUACCUAUAGUUAUAUAUUACCUACCAAAGUAAACUUGACAAUUGUAAAUCUCUCAAAUCAGCCAAAUAAUUAAUGUCGAACAUAUCGCACGAAAAUGCAUUUCAUCUUCGCAUACUGCACCAGAUUCUAGAACCUCAAACUAUCCUCAAUACGCCCAAGCCUACUCCUCAAACUUCAUACAAUUAACCAAAAUUAAAACCUGCUUACAACAAAAUCUGGUAACAUGUUCCUAGGAGAUCUAAUUUAACUCAUAAUAACCUUGCACCGGGCCUGCUAUAAAAGUUUAUCCCCUCUUCAAAACAACAAUUCUCCAUACCUAAUUUAGUACUCCAAGCGAUCUGCCGAAACCACUUGUCAAAGUAUGUACAUUUUGAUCUAUUCGACAACAACAACAAUGACCAAGAACUUCCGAGCCUACUUUCCAUGACCUACUUGAUCAUAGACCUAAGUUGCACAACAAUCACUUCAUCACCAGAGACCAAUUAAUAAUCUUACAGAAACCAUAUUAAGAAACAAAACCUAGUAAAGCCUAACUCAUGUAAACAAUAGUAUAUGAUUUAUGUUUUUUAUAAAGAUCACGUAGCAAAUCAAUCGAAUUAAUAAAUUGUAGACACAAAUAAAUCCAUGUAAUUAAUAUCAUUUCAAAUAAACACAUAUAUUGACAUAAAGGAAAUCAUAACAUUCAUAACGAUGAAUAAUUCAAUCGAAAUAGAACAUAAGACUAAGCUCCUCAAAUUUUGAUGUAUCCAAGUACAGACUUUCUUCCUUCCACAAUUCCCUCUUAUGAAUCACUUGCUCAAAAUAAUCUCAAUCCUCGAAAAUAUCUCAAAAACUUGUGUACCUGUAGCUAUAUAUUACACACCAAGGAAAACUUGAAAAUUGUAAAUCUCGCAACCCAGCAAAAUGAUUAAUGUCGAACAUAAUACACGAAAAUGCAUUUCAACAUCACAUACUGCACCAGAUUCUAGAACCUCAAACCAUCCUCAAUACGCCCAAGCCUACUCUUCAAACUUCCUACUAUUGACCAAAAAUAAAGCCUGCUUACCACAAAAUCCGGUAACAUGAUCCUAGGAGAACCUAAUUUAACUCCUAAUAACGUUGCACCUGGCCUGCUAUAAAAGUUUCUCCAAACCUAUUAAAUGUCUCUUUAAAACAAUAAUUCUCCAAACCAUGUUUAGUACUCCGAGCGAUCUGCCGAAACUACUUCUCAAAGUAUGUACAAUUUGAUCUAAUCAACCACAACAACAAUGACCUAGAACCUCCGAGUCUACUUUCCAAGUACAGACUUUCUUCCUUCCACAAUUCCCUCCAAUGAAUUACUUGCUCAAAAUAAUCUCAAUCAUCGAAAAUAUCUAAAAAACCCCUGUACCUAUAGUUAUACAUUACUUACCAAAGAAAACUUGAAAAUUGUAAUCCCAACCCAGUGAAAUGAUUAAUGUCGAACAUAAUGCAGGAAAAUGCAUUUUAUCCUAUCAUACUGCACCAGAUUCUAGAACCCAAACUCCUCAAUACGCCCAAGCCUACUCCUCAGACUUACUACUAUUGUUCCCAAGUAUUUACCAAAAUAAAGCCUAUUUACCACAAAAUCGGGUAACAUAUUCCUAGGAGAACCUAAUUUAACUCCUAAUAACCUUCCACUCCAAAACUAUUAAAUCGCUCUUCAUAAUAACAAUUUUCCAUACCUAGUUUAGUACUCCAAGCGAUUUGCCGAAACUACCUCACAGAGUAUGUACAUUUUGAUCUAAUCAACGACAACAACAAUGACCCAGAACCUCCGAGUCUACUUUCCAUGUACAGACUUUCUUCCUUCCACAAUUCCCUCCAAUGAAUCACUUGAUCAAAAUAAUCUGAAUCCUCCAAAAUAUCUCAAAAACCUCUGUACCUAUAGUUCUAUGUUACCUACCAAAGAAAACUUGAAAAUUGUAAUCCCAACUCAGUGAAAUGAUUAAUGUCGAACAUAAUGCACAAAAAUGCAUUUCAUCUUCUCAUACUGCCCCAGAUUCAAAAACGUCAAACUAUCCACAAUAUGGCCAAGCCUACUCCUCAAACUUCCUACUAUUGUUCCCAAGUAUUUACCAAAAAUAAAGCCUGCUUAAAAAAAAAUCUGGUAACAUGUUCCUAGGAGAACCUAAUUUAACUCCUAAUACCUUUGCACCUGGCAUGUUAUAAAAGUUUCACCAAACCAAUUAAUUGUCUCUUCAAAACAACAAUUCUCCAUACAUAGUUUAGUACUCCAAGCGAUCUGCCGAAACUAGUUCUCAAAGUAUGUACAUUUUGAUCUAUUCAACAACAUCAACAAUGACCUAGAACCACCGAGUCUACUUUCCAUUACCAAAAUCUUAUGCAAUUAACUUGAUCAUAAUACUAAUUUGCACAUCAAUCAAUUCAUCACCAGAGAACAAUUGUUAAUCUUACAGAAACUAUCUUAAGAAACAAAGCAUAGGAAAGCCAAACUCAUGUAAACAAUAGUAUGUAAUUUAUGCUUUAUACAAAGAUCACAUAGCAAAUCAAUCCAAUUAAUAUAUUGUAUACACACAAAUAAAUCCAAGUAAUUAAUAUUCAUUUCAAAUAAACACAUGUAUUGACAGAAAAGAAAUCAUGAGUCAUAACCAUCAAUAGUUCAAACGACAUAGAACAUAUGACUAAGCACCUCAAAUUUUGAUCUAUCCAAGUACAGACUUUCUUCCUUCCACAAUUCCCUCUUAUGAAUCACUUUCUCAAAAUAAUCUCAAUCCUCGAAAAUAUCUCAAAUACUUUUGUCCCUGUAGCUAUAUAUAUUACACACCAAGGAAAACUUGAAAAUUGUAAAUCUCUCAACCCAGCCAAAUGAUUAAUGUCGAACAUAAUGCACGAAAAUGCAUUUCAACUUCAAAUACUGCACCAGAUUCUAGAACCUCAAGCUAUCCUAAAUACGCCCAAGCCUACUCUUCAAACUUCCUACUAUUGACCAAAAAUAAAGCCUGCUUACCACAAAAUCUGGUAACAUGUUCCUAGGAGAACCUAAUUUAACUCCUAAUAACGUUGCGCCUGGCCUGCUAUAAAAGUUUCUCCAACCCUAUUAAAUGUCACUUUAAAACAACAAUUCUUCAUACCAAGUUUCGUACUCCAAGCGAUCUGCCGAAACUACUUCUCAAAGUAUGUACAUUUUGAUCUAAUCAACGACAACAACAAUGACCAAGAAC
RNAcentral lists this long non-coding RNA (4697 nucleotides) under Fragaria vesca (wild strawberry). RNAcentral describes it as "long non-coding RNA (FVES_LNC000434)". Lineage: Eukaryota; Viridiplantae; Streptophyta; Magnoliopsida; Rosales; Rosaceae. The record is from RNAcentral.